UUUGUUUCGAGCGAUGGUAAAUGGUGUUAUAUUCACGUGUUCUUUGCAAGUAUAAGAAAUAGAAUUGAUGUGUGUGUAGAUCUCGUAUCUUGUGAUUGAUGAAGUCACUGUUAGUUCUGAGAGUUUUUGGCAGAUUGCUUGGGAUUUUCCAUGGAGACCUCAUGCCAUCGGCAAAGAGAGACCAUGUCAUUUUUUUCUUUUCUUAUCUGAAUGCUUUUUUAUUCCUUGCUCAAAGUUGGUAUUCAUUCUUCUUUAAAUAGUUGGUAUAAUUCUCAAGUGAAACCAUCUGGGCCUGGAUAUUUUUUUUUUUAGGAGUUUUUGCAUUAUGAAUUCAAUUUUCUUAAUAGCUGCAGAGUUAUGCAAAUUAUCUAUUUGAUAGUGCAUGAGUUGUGGCAGUUUUUUGUGUUUUUAGAUGAAAGGAACCAACUUAUUUUUUUUUUUUGUUUUUGUUUGCUUGUUUGUUUGUUUUGGCUUUUUAGGGCUGCACUCGGGGCACAUGGAAAUUCCCAGGCUAGGGGUCAAAAUUAGAGCUGCAGCCGCAGGCCUAUGCCACAGCCACAGCAAUGCCAGAUCCGAGCUGUGUCUGUGACCUGCACUGUAGCUCACGGCAAUGCCAGAUUCUUAACCCACAGAAUGAGGCCAGGGAUCAGACCUGCAUCCUCAUGGCUACUAGUCAGAUUUGUUUCCACUGAGCCAGGAGGGAAACUCCAGGAACCAGCUUCUUAGUUAUCCAGUUCAUGGGUGUAUAGUCAUUCCUCAUAGUCCCUUAUUAUCCUUUUGAUUCCUCUGUUUCAUUCCUGACACAGUUUGUUUUUUGUUUGUCUCCUGGAAUUUUAUCAGUUUUAUCAGUUUUUUCAAAGAACCAACUCUUGGUGGCAUUGGCUUUCCAUAUGGUUUUUCUUUUCAAUUUUCAUUGAUUUUCUGGUCUGUGGCGUCUCCUUCCCUCUGCUUUGGCUCUGGGUUUAUUUUGCUCUUCUUUUUUUAGGUUCUUGAGUUGGGAUCUUAGAUUAUUGAUGUGAGACUUUUCCUUCUCUCUAAUAUAUGCACUUGGCGCAUACAUUUCCCUCUCAGUGAGAGCUGUGCCCCAGACAUGUUGAUAUGUUGUGCUUUCAUUUUCCUUCGGUUCUGUGUAACUUUGAUUUCUCUUGUGACUUCCUCCUUGACCCAUGAGAUAUUUACAGAUACAUUGCUUAGUUUACAAGUCCUGACUCCAUUUGGUUGGAGAAUACCUUCUGUAUGAUUUCAAUUUUUUUUUUUUUUUUUUUUUUUUUGCUUUUUUAGGGCCACACUCGCAGCAUAGUAAGUUCCCAGGCUAGGGGUCAAAUCGGAGCCACAGCUGCUGGCCUACAGCACAGCCACAGCAACUCGGGAUCUGAGCCAUGUCUGUGACCUACACCACAGCUCACGGCAAUGCUGGAUUCCUGACCCACUGAGCUGCAACGGGAACUCUCUGAUGCAACAUUAUUAACUUAUUUAUCUCAUAACUGGAAGUUUGUACCUUUUAACCACCCUCACCCAUUUUGCUCACCCCUCUCCUACCUCUUGCACCACAGUCUGUUCUCUGCAUCUAUGACUUUGGCUUUUUCAGAUUCCACAUAUAAGAUCAUACAGUGUUUGUCUGUCUUGGCCUGACUUGUGUCCCUUGGCAUAAUCCAGGUCCAUCCAUGUUGUCACAAGUGGCACUUUCCUUCUUUUUUAUGGCUAAAUAUAUUACAGUGUAUGUCUCGUAUAGUCCAUUGCGUGUAUUUACCGCAUUUUGUUUAUCCAUUUGCCAACCCCCCACCCCCUCCCCACCCCCUGUGCCUGUGCCUAGGUUGUUUCCAUGUCUUGGCUGUUGUGAGUGAUGUGCUGUGAACGUAGGGGUGCAGACAGCUUUUUGAGAUAGUCGUUUCAUUUCCUUGAGAAAUGCACCCGGAAGUGGAAUUGUGGGUCCUUUGGUAGUUCUCUUUUUACUUUUUUGAGGACGCUCCAUGCUGUUUUCCAUGGUGUCUGUGCCAGUUUAUAUUCCCGCCCAUAGUGCACUGGGGUUCCCUUUUCUCCACAUCUUUGCCAGCAUUUGUUAUCUUUUGUCUCUUUGGUAACGGCCAUUCUAACAGUCUUAGAGUAUAAUAGCUUUGAUUUUGAUUCGGGUUUUGAUUUGCACUUCCCUGAUAAUUAGUGCACCCUGUUUUUUGAUUAGGUAUGACAUUUUGUGAUGCUAUUCUGAUUUUUAUAUCUUUUUUUUUUGUCUGUUUUUCAGAAGUUUAUCAGGGGCGUUCCCGUGGUGGCUCAGUGUGUUACGAACCUGACUAGCAUCGAUGAGGUUGUGGGUUCGAUACCUGGCCUCGCUCAGUGGGUUAAGGAUCCCGCAUUGCCACAAGCUGUGGUGUAGGUUGCAGAUAUGGCUCAGAUCCUGCAUUGCUGUGGCUGUGGUGUAGCCCUGCAGCUGCAGCUCUGAUUAGAUCCCCUAGCCUGGGAACUUCCACAUGCCACAGGUGAGGCACUAAAAAAGCAAAAAAAAACAAAAACAAAAAAAAGUUUAUCAGGAGUUCCUGUUGUGGCUCAUCAGAGACAAUCUGACUAGCAUCUAUGA
Molecule: long non-coding RNA, 2572 nt
Filed under: Sus scrofa (pig)
Lineage: Eukaryota; Metazoa; Chordata; Mammalia; Artiodactyla; Suidae
Description: lncRNA (ENSSSCG00055030022.1)
Source: RNAcentral